RNAcentral lists this ribosomal RNA (577 nucleotides) under uncultured bacterium. Its description in RNAcentral is "bacterial SSU rRNA". It matches the Rfam family "Bacterial small subunit ribosomal RNA", at positions 72 to 683 of the family's 1533-position model. The record is from RNAcentral.
AGCUAACUUCGGUUAGUGGACAGCGGCGGACGGGUGAGUAUCGCGUGGGAAUUUACCAUAGAGUGGGGGACAACUGCUGGAAACGGCAGCUAAUACCGCAUACGCCCUAAGGGGGAAAGGCUUCGGCCGCUCAAUGAGAAGCCCGCGUACGAUUAGUUUGUUGGUGGGGUAAUGGCCUACCAAGACUACGAUCGUUAGCUGGUCUGAGAGGACGAUCAGCCACACUGGGACUGAGACACGGCCCAGACUCCUACGGGAGGCAGCAGUGGGGAAUAUUGGACAAUGGGCGAAAGCCUGAUCCAGCGAUGCCGCGUGAGUGAAGAAGGCCUUAGGGUUGUAAAGCUCUUUCGGUGGGGAAGAUAAUGACGGUACCCACAAAAGAAGCCCCGGCUAACUCCGUGCCAGCAGCCGCGGUAAUACGGAGGGGGCUAGCGUUACUCGGAAUUACUGGGCGUAAAGCGAGCGUAGGCGGUUUAAUAAGUUGAGGGUGAAAGCCCGGGGCUCAACCCCGGAAAUGCCCUCAAAACUAUUUGACUAGAGGACGGGAGAGGGGAGUGGAACUCCCAGUGUAGAGGUG